This is a long non-coding RNA of Ostrinia furnacalis (Asian corn borer), 2337 nucleotides long. RefSeq lists it as uncharacterized. The transcript is spliced from 2 exons. Lineage: Eukaryota; Metazoa; Arthropoda; Insecta; Lepidoptera; Crambidae. The record is from RefSeq and is a predicted model, not a curated record.
AGGCAAUAUAAUGUAUAAGAUGAGUAUCCAGUGUUUUAUUUAUGAGAAUAGAUCUACCGGCCUCUAAUAGUUCAGAAGUGAGAUCUGAAACCUAUGAUAGUAACGUGAUUUCAAAGUGUUCCAGGUGACCAAUGUUUCGUGUUAUUUGUCACGAAUAUUAACACAAAACGCCCACGAUUCUAUGGUUCUAAUUGAAUAUGAUGAAGAGAGAAUGUCAUGGAAACCACGCUGACAAAGGUGUGAGAUGCAGAAAAGUAUUUAAGUACGAGAAAUGAUGGACGCAAAUUAUGAACAUACUCCCUCCGUAACUUGGCUUGUGGUCACGUAAGUGGUGAACAAUUUGACUAACGAUGGCCCCAGAGCAGAUAUGGUGACUUAUCUGUCUGCGGGUUGGCCCUGUGGUGAGCAAAUCAGUCAAGCACAAUACCUGAGUGAAGCUGAACACUGAACAAGGGGUACUUCACAUAAAUGAUUUGGAGUUGGACAGAAGGAAAUGCAAUACAAAAGGGCAUCAGCUGUGAUAUUUGGUGAGUGAAAAUGUAAUACAAAAGGAAUUAGCUGUGAUAUUUGGUGAGUUGAAUUAAUGUUUUAUUGCAAGGGUUGAGCUGAGACUAGCAGUGCCACUGCGGCUUGGUUGUUUAACUGUGCUUAUUCUUGUCAUUGGCAUGAAAUUGCAUACAAUUAACUUGAGUGUGAACAGAUUGUAAUAAUGAAUUGGCUACAGUCUACUGCUAGACUUUAGAACUUCCCAACUGCCGCUAACAGUCUUAAGCAAAAAGUUAUUAUUAAUAAUGGUGAAUAAGAGAGUGAUGUGUUUGAAUAGAAAUAAAUGCUUAUCAUUGGUCAUUAGCAUUGGCCUAUUGUGUGGUAUACUGCUGUACUGUGCGAAAGUUAGCUAUUUACCCGACUGCACCAGAAGGAGGGUUAUGUUUUUUUAAUAAUGUUAUCAAUGGAGCAAAGUACUAGCAGUGAUCAAAUAAAGUUUAUAUUGGUGAUGAUUGUGUUGUGUGCUUCCCUGUAAUGACUGGGUUAACAACAGAUACUUGAAUAUGAAGUCAGUUGCAUUGUGGGUGAAUUUUGGCCAAGCAUGAGAAGAGAAGUAUUGUACUUGUUAAAUUAAAGUUCUUGGAUAUUUCCAUGAAUGCUUGUUCCUAUUUGAGGAUGGUAAGUUCAUGGAAGUAUGUGCAGUUUCCAAAGAUAAUAGUUGGAAGUGUAUUGCUGUCAACACAACAAUAACAGUAAGUUUAUUAUGAUAAAGUUGCAUUUGUGUGUGAAGCAAAUUUGUGUUCACUAAGACACAAUGUUAAGCAUAAAUUGUUUCACUGUUUAUUACUGGCAUUAUUAUUGAUGAUGAUGAUUUAUGUAGUUGUGUUAUUCAUCUUAAUAUUUUAGAGUUUACAUUGAAAUAUUUUAUUAUUUAAAUAAAGAUAAUUUUAGCAAAUUUCUUAUGAUGUUGUGAUUAUGGGAAUGGUUUGAAAAUAAUAAUAAUAAUAAUGGGGGUAUGAUGUACUAUGUGAGGAUCAUACACCAGUGGGCAUUGUCAUGAAACUGGGUGGACUUUGUCAUUUUGUGUGAGAUGGAUGUCCUGAUAGCUGUGUGAGGAGGACAUGUGGCAUUGUCUUGAAACUGUGUGGACAUUGUCAUUCUGAGUGGGAUGUCUGUGUGACAUCAGGAAUUGUGAAGAUGUCGUGUCUUGUGUGGGAGACAUCAUGAACUAUGAUGUUUUGGCUUGUGUAGCGACAUCAUAGGGCUGUGUGGCGAGGCGCAAACUGUGUGGAAUGGCCUAAUCUGUGUGGGUUUAAAGAGAAAAUGUUAAAAGAACCAUAACCAAUCCCAUAAAUCAUUUAGGUCCAAUAGUAUUUAUUUUAAUUGUAUUGCAUUGUAUAACUUCAUUAAAAUUACGUCAUUAGGAGUUCACAAUGUUCUAAAUUAAUUCUGAAUAAUACCGAAGAGAAGAGGCAGUAUCAUGAGCAAAUGGAGAACCUACUGAGAAAGGCAUACGCCGGGCGCUGUAGUGGUGACUUCGUGGAAAGCUUCAACGACAUCGAGCAAGCAAAGAAGUGAUUUUUCAAGUGGACGAAGACCACAGGAAGGCGGUCUUCCAUGUCCGGAACUGGAACAGCAACAACGACAGACUGCUAGCAGUCGCCCCGAGCGGCAGGCGCGCCGCGAAGAAAGGAGCGACUCCCCUAGAAGCUCCUGAAAAGCAGUGGCGCCUCAAGACCGGAUGGGACGAGCCCGUGCUGGAAAACGUCGCAGCAUACUUCGAGAAAUGGCUGUCAGACCUGCAGAUUAUGAAGAGACUGCGUAUUCCUCGAUACUACUACGGGGGGGAGA